This 429-nucleotide ribosomal RNA is filed under the name uncultured archaeon. Its description in RNAcentral is "bacterial SSU rRNA". It matches the Rfam family "Archaeal small subunit ribosomal RNA", at positions 474 to 903 of the family's 1478-position model. The record is from RNAcentral.
UACCAGCUCUCCGAGUGGUAGGGAUGAUUAUUGGGCUUAAAGCGUCCGUAGCCGGCUUAGCAAGUUUCCUGUUAAAUUCAGCGACCUAAUCGUUGAGCCGCGGGAAAUACUACUAGGCUAGGAGGCGGGAGAAGUCGACGGUACUUCUGGGGUAGGGGUGAAAUCCUAUAAUCCCGGGAGGACCACCAGUGGCGAAGGCUGUCGACUAGAACGCGCUCGACGGUGAGGGACGAAAGCUGGGGGGAGCGAACCGGAUUAGAUACCCGGGUAGUCCCAGCUGUAAACGAUGCGGGCUAGGUGUUGGGGUGGCUACGUGCCACUUCAGUGCCGCAGGGAAGCCAUUAAGCCCGCCGCCUGGGGAGUACGGCCGCAAGGCUGAAACUUAAAGGAAUUGGCGGGGAGCACCACAAGGCGUGAAGCUUGCGGUUC